UACGGGGGGGGCAAGCGUUGUUCGGAAUUACUGGGCGUAAAGGGCUCGUAGGCGGCCAACUAAGUCAGACGUGAAAUCCCUCGGCUUAACCGGGGAACUGCGUCUGAUACUGGAUGGCUAGAGGUUGGGAGAGGGAUGCGGAAUUCCUGGUGUAGCGGUGAAAUGCGUAGAUAUCAGGAGGAACACCGGUGGCGAAGGCGGCUCUCUGGACGGUGACUGACGCUGAGACGCGAAAGCGUGGGGAGCAAACAGG
RNAcentral lists this ribosomal RNA (253 nucleotides) under uncultured bacterium. Its description in RNAcentral is "partial 16S ribosomal RNA". It matches the Rfam family "Bacterial small subunit ribosomal RNA", at positions 524 to 776 of the family's 1533-position model. The record is from RNAcentral.